This 249-nucleotide long non-coding RNA is filed under the name Oryctolagus cuniculus (rabbit). RNAcentral's name for it is "lncRNA (ENSOCUG00000038752.1)". Lineage: Eukaryota; Metazoa; Chordata; Mammalia; Lagomorpha; Leporidae. The record is from RNAcentral.
AUGAUGUUGAGGGUUCAAAAGACAUGGUCAUCCCUCCAAUGUCUUUGUGCGUUAUUCUUUAGCUCUGGGUGGGCGUGUGCUUUGAUUAUAGGAAGUGCCUCGGGCAGUGGCUGGCAUUUGAAGGGCUGCUCCACACGUAUCAAUCAUCCUUUGACAAGAUCUGGGAGAAGGAGAAAAAAAAAAACUCGACAAGGGAGAAAAAAAAAAAAAAAAACUUGCCAUGGUCUCAUAUUUGGGAAGGAUAAAUAG